CGCUUUCAAACUUUAAUCGCAGGCUCCUCUUCGGAGUCUAAUAGUUGCCUGGCACAGAGUGGUGACCUGGUCUAGGUGAAGGAGACUCUCGGGUUGAGGAAGCCAGGAGCUCCCUGGGCGCGAAGAGAUAUGCGCCCGGAGUUCAUGCCUGUGUACCAGGUUCUCUAAGAGCUCCGAAGAAAGAGAAACAUUACCAAAGAUAUCUGGUAGAAGUGACACUA
This 221-nucleotide long non-coding RNA is filed under the name Ictidomys tridecemlineatus (thirteen-lined ground squirrel). Its description in RNAcentral is "lncRNA (ENSSTOG00000031880.1)". Lineage: Eukaryota; Metazoa; Chordata; Mammalia; Rodentia; Sciuridae. The record is from RNAcentral.